UUAACACAUGCAAGUCGAGGGGUAUAGGUAGCUUGCUAUUUAGAGACCGGCGCACGGGUGCGUAACGCGUAUGCAAUCUACCUUUUACAGUGGGAUAGCCCAGAGAAAUUUGGAUUAAUACCGCAUAGUAUUAUAGGAUGGCAUCAUUUUAUAAUUAAAGUCACAACGGUAAAAGAUGAGCAUGCGUCCCAUUAGUUAGUUGGUAAGGUAACGGCUUACCAAGACUUCGAUGGGUAGGGGUCCUGAGAGGGAGAUCCCCCACACUGGUACUGAGACACGGACCAGACUCCUACGGGAGGCAGCAGUGAGGAAUAUUGGACAAUGGAGGCAACUCUGAUCCAGCCAUGCCGCGUGCAGGAUGACGGUCCUAUGGAUUGUAAACUGCUUUUAUACAGGAAGAAACAUCCCGACGUGUCGGGACUUGACGGUACUGUAAGAAUAAGGAUCGGCUAACUCCGUGCCAGCAGCCGCGGUAAUACGGAGGAUCCAAGCGUUAUCCGGAAUCAUUGGGUUUAAAGGGUCCGUAGGCGGCCUUAUAAGUCAGUGGUGAAAUCUCCCCGCUCAACGGGGAAA
Molecule: ribosomal RNA, 573 nt
Filed under: uncultured bacterium
Lineage: Bacteria
Description: bacterial SSU rRNA
Rfam family: Bacterial small subunit ribosomal RNA
Source: RNAcentral